AAGUUCAGAACAGCUGUAGUGCUUUAGUCGUGGCCUGAUCCCUUAAAACUGUUCAAAUCCAAAGCUACAGAGAGAAACCUUGUCUCAAAAAAAAAAAAUCCAAAGAAAAAAACCCUGAAAAAAAGUGUUCAAAUCACCAAGACAUCAAAAGGUUUUGACUGUAGAGGAGUUUAAGAUCACCCUAACCUAAAUGCUCCUACUCCACUUGGUGCUCUCUUUGGGAAGGCUACCUGAAGGAAAAUGCUGCCCUGUAAGUCCUGUUGAUCUCCUUCCUAUAAGGAGAAUUUACAGAAGUGAAAGCUGAGCUUUCUGGAACUUCAGGAACAUCAGGUAACCUAAUUCAGGACAUAGUAAAAGAGGGUUCAGGAUUUAAGCACAAGUCUAAUGAAUUUAAAGUAAGUGUUUUAUACCAUCCCUUGUAUAUUCUCUCUCUCUCUCUCUCUCUCUCUCUCUCUCUCUCUCUCUCUCUCUCUCUCUCUCUCUCUCUCUGUUUACUUGAGUCUUUUAAUUUUUUUGUUAAAAUAAACUUGUAUCAUUUUUUUCCUCUUUCCUUCCUCCAACUCCUCCUAUCUCCUUUCCCACACAGCCCUCCUAUGA
Peromyscus maniculatus bairdii (prairie deer mouse) is the source of this 597-nucleotide non-coding RNA. NCBI's taxonomy places the organism in Eukaryota, Metazoa, Chordata, Mammalia, Rodentia, Cricetidae. The record is from RefSeq and is a predicted model, not a curated record.